GUGAAAUUCAUUGUCCUAUACAGAAUAAAUUAAACCUGACUCUAAGAUAUCAUGAAUUUCUUCCCAAGUCUUUCCCACUGAAAUCUGCACUACCAAAUGAUCCAGCUGAAGUCACCAUGUCAAGAUUGCUACCCAUGGAUGUUAAAAGGGCAGAUAAUCCAGGCGAUGGACCGACACUAGCUGCCAUUCCUAAUCCAAGGAGGUCAAGAGUGGGAU
RNAcentral lists this unclassified non-coding RNA (216 nucleotides) under Hevea brasiliensis (rubber tree). The record is from RNAcentral. Lineage: Eukaryota; Viridiplantae; Streptophyta; Magnoliopsida; Malpighiales; Euphorbiaceae.